UUGACAAUUGAAUGUUUAUUGUUAGAUGUUUUACAUAAAGUAUAUAAUGUUUAUGUUGUCACAUAAUAUGUUUUGUUCAGUAAGUGUGUAAGUAUUGAAAUGCAGUAAUGUUGAAACCUUAAAUCUAAAAAAAAAAGGAGAUGUCAUGAUAAGUGAGUAUUUCAUGAUAUGUGUAUAUACCUAGUCUAACCACUAGAUGUCAGUAGUGACGCACUUACCGGUAUAUGUUAAUACGGCAUGAAGAAGACGAGUUGUCGUGUUGUUGUGGUCUAGAGUUGCACCAUGUGCGCAUCGUUCUGAAAUAAAGAUAUGUUUGUCAUACAACGUUUAUUUGAUUAAAGAACAAACAUUACAACGUGCAUCUUUUCUGGUCAGUCGUCAUGAAAACAUGGCGUUUGGACCAGAGUGAAAACAAACAACAUAUCACUGUAUACCACCAGAACCGGUGAGUCUGUGACCUUUUCCUGACCAAGUAAUGUAAGGAUGAUCGCUCCACUCGGGGAGAUGAGAGAUCUUCUCUUCAGUGCUGGGCUCGAUCGGCCAACCCCAGGCUUUGAAGAAGGACGACAGAUUCAUGUCCACCACCUUGGAGAAGGUCUCAGCGUA
Non-coding RNA from Misgurnus anguillicaudatus (oriental weatherfish), 606 nucleotides. The record is from RefSeq and is a predicted model, not a curated record. Lineage: Eukaryota; Metazoa; Chordata; Actinopteri; Cypriniformes; Cobitidae.